This 280-nucleotide long non-coding RNA is filed under the name Mytilus galloprovincialis (Mediterranean mussel). Lineage: Eukaryota; Metazoa; Mollusca; Bivalvia; Mytilida; Mytilidae. The record is from RNAcentral.
UGAAAAAGUUCAGCUCAUUGAAAGGAUUGGCAGUACUUGGGCCAUAAAAAAGAAUAGGUUUGUUUGCCCAAACGCUACCUACCCAGAAAAAAGCUGCCUACUCAAAUUCUUUUAUUGUCCAGAUUUGAAGAAGUUUUUUUUUAAUCAGAUAGGCAUGAAGACUAAUAAACACCAGAUACUUCAAUUUCUCUUUUUGAAAAAAAAAGAAAAUGCCUACCUACCUACCCACUGUCUCAACCUUUGGGUAGGGUUUGGGCAAACCAAAAUAUUUUUAAUUGGG